This is a non-coding RNA of Acanthosepion pharaonis, 112 nucleotides long. Lineage: Eukaryota; Metazoa; Mollusca; Cephalopoda; Sepiida; Sepiidae. The record is from the annotation of a GenBank genome assembly.
AUGGCGACAUCACAUCGAAACACCGGAUCCCGUACAAUAACCUAAGUUAAGCAAUAUCGAGCCUGGUUAUUACCUUGAUGGGUGUCUACUUGGGAAUACCAGGUGCUGUAAG